Molecule: small nuclear RNA, 183 nt
Gene: U2
Rfam family: U2 spliceosomal RNA
About the family: U2 is a small nuclear RNA (snRNA) component of the spliceosome (involved in pre-mRNA splicing). Complementary binding between U2 snRNA (in an area lying towards the 5' end but 3' to hairpin I) and the branchpoint sequence (BPS) of the intron results the bulging out of an unpaired adenosine, on the BPS, which initiates a nucleophilic attack at the intronic 5' splice site, thus starting the first of two transesterification reactions that mediate splicing.
Source: Ensembl
UUGUCCGGCCCUCGGCCUUAAGGUGCGAAGCACCCUGAUGUCAGUUUAAUAUCUGAUAUGUCCCCCCGCGUGGGACUACAUAUUAAGCAAAUUUUUAGAACAGGGAGUUGGCAAAGGGGCUUUCUAUAACCGCUCCACGCAUCGACCCAGUAAGGCAGUGCCUCUGGAAGGUGUGCAUUUUAU